This 77-nucleotide transfer RNA is filed under the name marine sediment metagenome. Its description in RNAcentral is "tRNA-Gly". It matches the Rfam family "tRNA". Rfam says of the family: Transfer RNA (tRNA) molecules are approximately 80 nucleotides in length. Their secondary structure includes four short double-helical elements and three loops (D, anti-codon, and T loops). The record is from RNAcentral.
GCAUCUGUAGCUCAGUUGGUUAGAGCGUCUGCUUGCCAAGCAGAAGGUCGCGAGUCCGAAUCUCGCCAGGUGCUCCA